AUAAGCCAAAAAGUGUUUCCUAACCUAAUUGGGCUUGAUCUUUUUGGGCUACCAAAGCUGAUAGCUCUCCGUGCUGACAGUCAUAUUUCUGUUAACUGGCUCUUAUUAGAAGACUUUAUAUUGGAUGAUUGUCCUAAAACGAAAAUUCUUUGUUCUACAAUUCCAGAGUCAUCUACAUUGAAGAAAAGUUUUAAUCAAAGUGACCUCAGUGGCAAGAAAGUCAUGUGUCCAAGCUCAAUUAUUCGAGGGUUAGU
RNAcentral lists this unclassified non-coding RNA (254 nucleotides) under Hevea brasiliensis (rubber tree). The record is from RNAcentral. Lineage: Eukaryota; Viridiplantae; Streptophyta; Magnoliopsida; Malpighiales; Euphorbiaceae.